UGGGGAAUAUUGGACAAAGGGCGAAAGCCUGAUCCAGCCAUGCCGCGGGUGUGAAGAAGGCCUUUUGGUUGUAAAGCACUUUAAGCGAGGAGGAGGCUACUUGGAUUAAUACUCUAGGAUAGUGGACGUUACUCGCAGAAUAAGCACCGGCUAACUCUGUGCCAGCAGCCGCGGUAAUACAGAGGGUGCGAGCGUUAAUCGGAUUUACUGGGCGUAAAGCGUGCGUAGGCGGCUUCUUAAGUCGGAUGUGAAAUCCCUGAGCUUAACUUAGGAAUUGCAUUCGAUACUGGGAAGCUAGAGUAUGGGGGAGGAUGGUAGAAUUCCAGGUGUAGCGGUGAAAUGCGUAGAGAUCUGGAGGAAUACCGAUGGCGAAGGCAGCCCUCUGGCCUAAUCCUGACGCUGAGGUACGAAGGCAUGGGGAGCAAACAGG
RNAcentral lists this ribosomal RNA (430 nucleotides) under Acidobacteriota bacterium. RNAcentral describes it as "Acidobacteria bacterium partial 16S ribosomal RNA". It matches the Rfam family "Bacterial small subunit ribosomal RNA", at positions 355 to 776 of the family's 1533-position model. Lineage: Bacteria; Pseudomonadati; Acidobacteriota. The record is from RNAcentral.